UCCCGUACUUCUUACAAUUGCGAUGGGGGGACGGAGAAGGCUAGGUGGGCCUGGCGACGGUUGUCCAGGUUCAAGUGCGUAGGCUUAAGAGUUAGGUAAAUCCGGCUCUUUUUAAGGCUGAGACACGACGUCGAGCACCUACGGGUGUGAAGUCAUUGAUGCCAUGCUUCCAGGAAAAGCCUCUAAGCUUCAGAUUGUAAGGAAUCGUACCCCAAACCGACACAGGUGGUCGGGUAGAGAAUACCAAGGCGCUUGAGAGAACUCGGGUGAAGGAACUAGGCAAAAUGGUACCGUAACUUCGGGAGAAGGUACGCUCUUGAUGGUGAAGUCCCUCGCGGAUGGAGCUGACGAGAGUCGCAGAUACCAGGUGGCUGCAACUGUUUAUUAAAAACACAGCACUGUGCAAAAUCGUAAGAUGACGUAUACGGUGUGACGCCUGCCCGGUGCCGGAAGGUUAAUU
This 460-nucleotide ribosomal RNA is filed under the name Vibrio parahaemolyticus. Its description in RNAcentral is "partial 23S ribosomal RNA". It matches the Rfam family "Bacterial large subunit ribosomal RNA", at positions 1437 to 1882 of the family's 2925-position model. Lineage: Bacteria; Pseudomonadati; Pseudomonadota; Gammaproteobacteria; Vibrionales; Vibrionaceae. The record is from RNAcentral.